This 4193-nucleotide long non-coding RNA is filed under the name Sus scrofa (pig). Its description in RNAcentral is "lncRNA (ENSSSCG00025034707.1)". The record is from RNAcentral. Lineage: Eukaryota; Metazoa; Chordata; Mammalia; Artiodactyla; Suidae.
AGGUAUGGUUUUUAUUUGUUUACUUGUUUAUUUAUUUGUGUUAGUGUGCAAGGAAAGGGGAGUCUAGAAGCUGAAACCAUGAAAUCCACACGGAAUUCUUUACAGAUUAGUAGUUGCGCAAUAUUUAUCUUUGCUGCUUACCUCGGAGGCCGGCCAAACCCUGAAGCUUUAUCUAGGUUUUGCAACAUAGAAUGAUCAUAUUUUCAUAGAUAUCAUCUUUGAAUUUGGCUUAGGUGUAGAGCAAAAUAUCACUUUAACGGAUUAUUGUUCUUGCUGUUGAGUUUCAUAUUGUUUGGAGACAGGCAAGGUACCAUUUAAAAAAUAACCAGUAAGUUUUUGGGGACACCCCCCCCCCUUACUCAAUAUGGCUGUAAGUCUUCUGUGGGAUUCAUGAGCUUUUAAGAUAAACACAAACCACGUAACCAUCAGCUUGGACUCUGUUUAUUAAGGUGCAAGAAGUGAUUUUAAGAGCUGUGACUCUGGUUUUAAGAGGGAUAAAGCAUCCUAGACCAUAUGUUAUCCUCAGAAUUGUUAAGUUCUGAAGCCAGCAUAUUAACCAGAUGAUACAGAAAAUAUGUUCAUAUUUGAUGUUUAAAGUCAUAUAGACAUGCGUUUUAUUCCAGUGUAUUUUGCUUUCCAUUUAAAAGUAUUUAAGCCUAAUUCUUACAAAUUUGAAGACCUAUAAAGGAUUCGGAACUUUGUAGAAGGACAAGACUUAUUCCUACAAGCCCUGUUUUGCAAACAUAAUCUUGUUCUUCUGUGCUUCAGUGCUCUCUUCACCGAUUGAUAUGUAAGGUGUGAAAUACUUAAUAAUGUCAUCAAAGAGAUUCAUCCGUUUAUUUAUGUUUUAUAGUUAAGAGACUCAACCACAGGGAAAAAUGACUUGACUGUAGUGGUUAGCACUCUGUGUUUAGAAAUUAAUAAUUUAAAUUUUUAUCUGUUUAAGUUUUUGACUUUUACAACUAAGGUCUUCUGCUUAGUUCUGAGAAGAAAUUAUUUUCCUUCCUUUGGAUUUUUUUGGCCAACUUUUGCAUCACAAUUUUGGCCAGUCCUCUCAUAACAGUAUUCCAGAAGAAAAUUGAAGAAAAAUGUGUAGAUAGUUCAUGUAAGCCUAUUUUCUUUACUUUACCCAACUAUAUUAAUUGAAAAAACUUCUUAAAGUCCAGUUUUAAAGUGUAUCUUUGUAUAUUAAGAUCUAUAAAUUAUGUAAGAAGUUCCUCAGAAAAACCGAAAAUUGGCUUUCUUUUCUUGUCUUGUCCAUGAUGCUGGUGAGUUAGAAAUUUAAUAUCCAUUUCCACUUUUUCAUUAAUUAGCAUAAAACUGCCUUGAAUAUUUUACUCUUCAUUCUAAGUUAAAUAAUCUUUCAAAAUCUCUCCAAAAGUAAAUCACUUAUAAAUGAAUCUAGGCAUCUCUUUUGCCCUUCACUUAACCUCCUAUAUCUCAGAUGCUUGGUAUUCUUUUGGGGAAAGGAAAUCAAAUUUGUAUGAGUCUUGGCCCUCUUUUUAAUGUAUUUAAUCCUCUUAUUAGCCUUUGUAACAGCAUCUUAACUUAGUGAUGACACCCUUAUUGAACCUGUGAUGGAACUUUUGGCUCUUAUAAGGAAGAGCCAUUUCUGGCAUUGACUCCAACCUUGUACCCAAGAAGCAUGGAAUAUUAAUGUAUUCUCAGUUCAGCGAGUAUGCUUGGCAGCCCACUGUGUUAUUAGUACAUCUAACUGAGUCAUAAGUAUCUCACAUUUUGAGGGGAGAGGAGCAGUCUUUGAAGGAGUAGGAAAGCCACUGGUUUCAAUAAGCCCUUGAGAAUUUGCUGCAGAUGUAGCACCUCUGAGCCUCAGAUUCACCAACUUGCCAAGAUACUGUACCUUUUUCUUUACUAUUUAUAUAUACUUAACUAUAAACAGUUACCUGUAUACAUAUAUAAGUGCAUAUGUGUGUGUGUGUGUGUGUGUAUACAUAUAUACAUAUAUAUACACACACACACUCACACACACAUGCAUAUAUAUAGAAUUUCUAUGGGAAAGGGGCCCUCCCCUAAUUACCUCACUGUAUUUGUUCCCUAACACAGUACUGUGUUUUUGCAUGUGCAGAGGGGGGCCCAUCAAACCUUUUCCUGACUAUUCCUGACAUGCAUUGUGGGACAUCUUAGAGAUUUUUUUUUUCCUUCUCUAUCUUUUAUUGUCACCAUCUUACUGUAGAAACUUGUCAUCCCAGGCGAGGUUGGGUAACAGCUAAAUUCCUCUCAGGUCUCAGUCACUUCUGGAUGUUAUUUCCAGACUUUUCCAAAGUACCAUCUGAUACGAGAGUUCCUGGCCUCUGAAAGUGCAGUGUCUCCCAACUGACCAUUGUAUAAAUUCCAGGCUCUUUAGCCUACUCACAUAUAGCUGAAUGUAGGCUAAGAGAAGGUUACCAUACCAAGGAUAGUGUCUAAAAAUAAAGAUAAGCCUCCUGAUACGCCAUAUUUAAUUCACCCAACAGACUUAUGGAGAAUAUGUUAUGACUGUUGCCUGUCUCGAGGAGGUACUGAGUACAUGUAGACAAGUGAGGCAUGGCGUGUCUUUAAGGAGCUUAGCGUCUGGUCGAGAAGAAAGACAUGUAAACAAGUAAUGCCAACAUAAGAUAAAUAGCCCAUGUGUGUGCGUGUGUCUGUGUGUGUCACUGUGUGUGUCACUGUGUGUGGGAGGGGGGUUGCUCAGAGAAGAAAGUGGACAUGUACUCUACUAGAGAGAUUAGAAGUCCCUAGGGAGGAGGUGAUUAAAUUGAGUCUUGACAUACAACGAAGUAUUUGCUAGGUGUGGUAGACGGACAAUUUCAAAGGACGUUUUAGAUAGAGGAAUUAGUAAGUUUAGUGUCAAGAGUCUUGAAACCAAAUGAGAGAUUUGAUGGACUUGAAAUCACAGGAUUGGAGAAAGAGAAGGAGGGAAAUGGCAAGCAGGACAGGCUUUGGUUCCCAGUAUAUGAGACAGGAGAGAGCUUCAGGACAAAGCCGUCCUCAGGUGGAAGACAGACCAGGAGAAUGGUGACUUUGGAGUCUGCUGAUUCAGUGUGGCUUGUUGUGGAAAUCCAGUCUGUGUGAGGAGCAAGCAAGCUCAGAACCUACUCUGCAGAAAAUGAGGCUGAAGAUCAGGUAGCAAGAUCUUAAUUAAGAAGAGACCUUGAAGAAACCAUGGCCAGCACCAAACACUGAGAAAGAGGAAAGAAUGAAGUUGAAUCAGCGCCCAGGUCAGUCACAGGUUUAUGGCAGAUUUCCACCUGUUUCCUAGGAACAAGGUCGCCAUCCAUUUGCUAUGUUACAGAAGAAUGUGGAAUAUAAGAUUCUAAGAGAGAGGAAAAGCUGUUCUGAGUGUUAAUCGUAUGUGGGUAAAUAAACCUUUUGAAUUAAGAAUUGAAGGCCUGGGUGCUUUUCAGUCUCAUGAUGUUUAACUUAUUUCUGUGUCAGGCUCAAACUUUUGUAGCUUAAGUUCAUUUACUUUUAGUAAAAUUUGUUUUCCUUUUUCUAAGAAAAAUUAGAAAAUAAAUUAGACUUAAAUGUUUUGGGGGGAUGAAAUAGCUCUUAUAAAUUUUGCAUUUUGAUGAGAUAAGUUUAAAUGAACAAAAAGCAAUCAGAUGAACAGCUCUUAAAAUGCACUAUGUGUGAAAAAUCAAAUCAGGAAUGCUUAGAGCAAAACAUUUAAGGCUUUAUUAUAUUGAAACCAUUUGAAAAAAUAUUCUGAAUGAUGGGCAAAUAGAAUAUGUGAUCAGGCUUAAUAAUUCAAAACUGACUUCUCUGUUUUCCAUGGAUGUAUUACUUUAUUAGUCUACAUGUAAUUUUCUUAAAAAUACUGUCUUCAAAACAAAAUAAUCAUUUUAAAAACAGUGUUGUCCUUCUCAUUGUAAAAAAUAUUUAGACUUUAAAUAUGUAUAAAAAUCUAGAAAAUUUGAAAAGUAGAGCAGUGAUCACACUUAAGUCCGCAUAUGAGAGAGAGCUGCUGUUGGAGUCCCCGUUGUGGUGCAGGGGAACAGAAUCCAGCUAGUAUCCAUGAGGAUGCAGGUUCGAUCCCUGGCCUCGCUCAGUGGGCUGGGGAUCCCGCGUUGCCGUGAGCUAUUGUAUAAGUCAUAAAUGUGGCUGGAACCUUGUGUUGCUGCGGCUAUGGCGCGCAACUGUAGCUUCGAUUCAGUCCCUAACCUGGGAACUUCCAUAUGCCAUGGGUGCAGCUC